UUUUCUUUCAGAUAUUGAGGCACAGUACUAUAACACCUUGGUGAUAUACCUCCUCUGAGGGUCCUGAAUCAGUUACAUCCACCCCUCAGGGCUGGACCCACUGACAGUGGUCUCCUCCAUCACUUCGCUGGCUCUUCUCAGCUUACUACAAGAUUCUUACGCUGCCAAAGAGGAUCGGGGAGAAGGAUGUUCAUUCUGGUGUCUGACUGUACCCAUGUCAGUGAGUGACUCAUGACUUCUCCAUUUGACUGUCUGGGUGACAAGGAAGAGCAUUAAUAAAACUGGAAAUCAAGCCUACAGAAAAGAGAACUGAGGUAAGAAAUGCUACUUUGGUAUUGUGAACAGAGGACACGUCUAUAUGAGAUGCCUUACUGAGCAGUAGUCCAACUUACUGUGCAGUAAGUGUCACCAUCUACACAUGCAGAUGCUUACUGAACGGUAAAUUGGUCUACUCCAUGGUUAAUUUGCUACCUGUAAAUGCAAAUUAACUGGUAGGUAGCAACUUAAAUGCAAAGUAGUUACUGCAUAGUAAAGCACGUGUAGCUGCUGCCUGGGAGUAAAUUUGUUCCUGGUCAGCCCCACUACCAGGCGUCCUCCUGCUGGCUAGCCCCAAGGCCAUGGGACUUGGAAUUUCUCCUGCCCUACCGCUGGGGCAGCUCUUUGCCUGGCCCUUAAAAGGGACUCUGGGCCCCUGAACCACCUGCAGCCAGCCUCUGGUCACUGGGAUCCUCAUCAGUGGCCCCUGGCCAGCUGCAGCAGCCUACCUGGACCCCGACACUGGUCCCUGACAGAGCUCUGCCUCCUACCUGCCUGGCACACACCAUGCCCCUGCACUGGAUGUUGCAGGCACCUGCUCAAGCCCAGCAAAACUCUGGACCACCUGCAGUCAGCCUCUGGUCACUAGGUCCCACUCCAGUGGCCCCCAGCCAACCACAGCAGCCUGCCUGGACCCUGGCACUCAUUCCUGGCACAGCCUUUCCACCCACCUGUUUGUCCUGUACUGUGUUGCUACACUGAGCACCAAAGACACCUGCCCAAGCCUGGCAGCACCCAGGGCCUCCUGGCAGCAUGGAGGCCCUGUGGGCCAUCGAGGGAGCCAUACUGGCAUCAUCCCUAAUGCCACACACCACCUCCCAGAGUCAGAACUGGUCCCAGGAGGAGACUGCAGACCUCAUGGCAUUGUGGGGUGAGACUGAGGUCUUCUGCUGGUUUUCCUGCAGCAGGUGCUCCUCUGCCUAUGUAUAUGAGGUCUUGUUAGGCUGUGUGUAGGAGCAAGGGCAUGACCUGUCAGCAUGCCCGUGCUGCGUAAACGUGAAGCUGUUAUGCACACAGUGGGUGACCAUCACCGACCACAACUGCCAGCAAGUCCUUUCCCUUUAUGCUGCACCUGGACCAAAUCAUGGUGCCCCAGGACCCUGGCCAAAGCCAUGCCAUACAUUUUAACAAGGGAAGCCUGCACAAGCCUCUGCUGCAGCCUGGCAGCCUCAAUGAGGCAGCAUCAGCAGAGGAAUACCUCUUUGGGUGCUAGGACCCCGUCCUACAACAUUCCCUACCCCCAGUCUCAUCCAACAUCUGCCCUGCCAGUUCUAGGUGUGCAGCCCUGCCUGGAAGGCCAGCCCAGCCAUGGCACUGCCAUCCUUCAGCAGCUCCAGCUUCUCCCAGGAGGGAUCCUCUGCCCAGGCAGCCAGACUCCAUGCCCCUGCACUCAAGGACACUACUGGGAGCUUCACAUCUUCACCAGUGGGGACAGACUUAGGCCACUGGGUCCACUUGCCAUGCCCACCCAGUAAGCCCCUCACAGGGGGUAGGGCCCUCCACACCUCUGCCCACCCGUUCUGCCCUGCCCAGCUGUGUUCUCCCUGGGCCCAAGAGUCCCUUUCCCACAGCAUGCAGGGUGGUGGGAGACAGGGCAAAACUUUAUUGAGCAGUCUGUGCCCACCCUCAGAUAGGCAAGCAUGGGCCCCUCUUAUGGAGAAUGCAUCAAUGCCGGUGGUGAUGUUGUCCUUGGCUUUGGGAGGCAGGGACAUGUAGUGUAGCCACAGGUAGCCCUCCAGGCAGGUGGACAUUGUGGGUAAGUGAGAGCUUGCCCACCAGACUGUCAAAGCUCAGGGUCCUGAACCAGGUUCUCAGGUGCAUUUGAGCCACCAUAGUGAGUAGCAACAGAGCAGUUCAAGGUGGGAUGGGCACCCCUUGGUCCACACAAACAGCUCCUUGCAGAUGCCGAGGACACUCUCAUUAGAGGCACAGGGAGCAGGGAGGCUUGGGGGGAGCCCGCCCCAGGGUACUUCUCCAGAGAGGCCCCCUGGGCAUAGGGCAGAGGUGUCACCAGCUCCACAUGCUAGUUGUCUGGGAGCCCCCUGGCUCCUGAACCUGGGCACUGUGGGAAAAGACUCAGGUCACUGGGCACACCUGCCACACCCACUCUGUGAGCCCCACACUGUGGGGAGGAGACAGCAUGGCAGCAUUGAAGGAGAUGGCCUGGCUUGCAGAAGGACAAGGUUGGGGAGUGAGUCUGGAGCCAUAGCAGUAGGUGCUGCCAGGAGCCAAGUCUGUUUCAGCCUGGGAAGAGGGCAGGGAAGGCAGGCUGCUUGCAGCCAGCACCAGCAGUACAUCUGCCCAUGCUGAGCAAGUAAGGAUGGGGGGUUAUUUGGCAGCCACCUGUGCCAGGACCUGCCCGGCUGACUUACCAUGGUCCCUCAGCACCCAUGCAAACACAACCCCCUAUCUGAGGCUGGGCAGUGCACAAUUCCCUGGUAUAGUGCAUGUUAUCUCGGAAAUGUUGAAAACUCACAAACUGCCUCUUUUUCCUGACUCUGUAGGUCCUGAAGCUGAAUGCAGGGGAGAGGCACCAGUUGACAACAGGGAUGCACUAUCAAGGUCACCGCCAGUCUGGCAGCUGAGGACCUAGGACUGACGCCAGCUGCUGGACCACCUGGUCACUGUGGCUGAAGAGUGGCUUGCGGAAUCAUAGGCUUGGCGCACAGAAGAUGUCACACACAAGGUGGAGAGGGCUGGCAGAAGGACCAGGCAGACAGGAUUCUGGCCCUUGAGGAGAGACACUUGGAGGCUGAGGAGGGGCAGGCUGCCAUGGUGGGCAAAGCAGUGGAGGCGACAGAGGAAGACCACUGGGUGCUGGAUACAUGCACAGUACUGGCCCUGCUGCAGGCAGCUUCUGCUCUGGGGACACAUGGAAUUGGUCUGAGUGGCAGGGCAAGGCCCAGACUGGGGGAUGGCUGGCAGGGGUCCCGGGACAGGUGCUGGGGCAGGGGCACCUGGCCAGUGUAGGUGCUGCUGCACUUCAGCCCAUGCCCACUGAGGGGUUUGCUGAUGGACAACAGGCAGCUGCCAGGGGGCAGGUAGGGCUGCAUCCAGCAGCUGGAAGUGGGCAACAUGAAGGUGACCACCAGGGUCAAGAUGGUAUCCUGUCACUGUCACUGUCACUGCAGCUGGCACUCCUGGUGUCAGGUGUCCUCCACCCACUGAGCUUCCUCUGCCCAGGCCUCACAGAUGUUAUGCAGCACGCAGACUGCAACAAUAACCCUGAAGAUGUUGGUCUUGGUGACUUCAAAGCAAGUGGUCAGGGUGUACCAGCAUCCCUUGAGGCAGCCAAAGGUGCACUCCACCAGCACACAGGUCCAGCCCAGACAAUUGUUGAACUGUACCUCGUGGGGGUCUGGCUGGCCGGUAUAGGGCCACAUAAGCCAGGGGAGAAGUGAGUAGAUGGGGUCCCCGAUGAGGAGCGGUGGGACCACCACCACAUCCAGCUGGAGGUAUGGCACUCCUGGUGCCAAGCACCCAUUUUCCACCAGGGCUGGUAUGGUGGAGUUGAGGAAGACAUAGGCAUUGUGGGUGCUGCCCACCCAACUGGCACUGACAUUGGUGAAAGCACUGUGGUUGUUGACAGUUUUUUUAUGCUGCCAUGUGCAUGAAGCAUGACAGUGUGAAAGGCCUGCUGGCUGUGUUAGAGGUGGUUACUGCAGGGUGAUGGGGAUGUGGGUACCAUCUAGGGCCCAAAUACAUUGGAGGAAGCCCAGGGCAUGGAACUUCACCACCAGCUCCAGGGGUUGUACACACAGAGCACAGUGUGCCCCAACACAUUCUGGAAGACACAACAGACCUCCAGGACACCCUUCCCAGCAGUCUUCUUGCCCAUGCUGAAGAGAUGGCCAACAUAGCACAGGCUGGCAGACAUAGGAGGGUAAUGGUCAGCCAGGUGUCCAUGGGGAGGAACCACCGCAUGGUGGUGGCCUGCUGCUUCAGAUGCAGGUGGAGCUGGUCAAGGAGCUCCUAGAAGGUGACCCAGGUCAUGCAAAAGGACUUCAGCCACUGGUUAUAUGUUUUGUUUCUCUCUACAGUUAAAUGACUGCCAAAUGAUUAUUUCUGCUGUUCAGUAGAUGAGCUAAGCCUUUUUACCAGAAGUCAAAUGUUGUUUCUAUAGUUUAGGUGUGACGCAGCCAAAGUUAGUGUCUUACAUAAACUCUGAGCCUAGUAAAAUGGAAUUAUGCUGUUAUACUGUUUGCAGCAGUGAGUAGGUUUCCUUUCUGACCUACUUUUAUCUUGCACAAAGUAAGCCAGAUCUUCUGGUUCAUUGGGUUAUUUUGUACUGCUCCCUUGUCACAAAGGUGCCCUAAGACUGGAUUCAACAGUAGAAAAAGGAUCCUCUCAGGAACAAGUGAAGUACAGCUGCCAUAUCCAGGACCAGUGUAACUGGCCAAGCAGGACUGGUGGCUGCCUGGGGCAGCAAAUUGAGAGGGGCAGCUACACAGUGUGCACACAACUUGCAAAUGCUCACUGAGGUGCUACCUCAGGAGUCUGGGCAUAUGCAGAAAUGAGCAGGGCAGCUCCAGGGCUAUCUGGUGCCUGCCCUUCCCAGAUCCCAGGUAUGUUACAAGGGAGGGUGGCAAAUGCAUUUGCCUAUGGCUGCAGAAAUCCUUGUGCUACUCUUGGCCAUAUCACAGUACUAUCUUCUCACUCACUGUAGCCAGCAUAAAAGGAAUAUUCAACACAUUCUCACCCUAUGAGGUCCUUGGCCUUCUGAACUAUCCAGAUCCAGUUUUUAGGCUACUCUAUGUACUAGAGGACUCACCUGGCCCUCAUCAAUUGUCAGGUAUCUUACAGCCACUUUUUUGUAGGCUCAGACACUUCUGAGUUGUGCUGACAACUCUUAGACCAUAGCUACUGAGUGGAAAAAGAUAUAUGGAAAAUAUGCCAGGUGGCUGUCCCUUAACUAUAAAAGGAAUAGUAUGAGAGUCUGGGAACAAAAAUUAAAGCUGAGGUUAUACAUUAUUUUUUAAAGAAUUCUUGAGCCUAUAUAUAUAGUAUAAAAUUGUUUAUGAAAAAUUAUUUAGCAGAAUUCCAUUUGCUAAAAAUCUUUAAAUGAUUUUUUGUGCCAAUUAAUUUUUCCAGAAGGAAAGUUCAAGUCCUUCAAGCUCUGAGGGACUUGAUUUCAAAUUAUUGGGUUUUUUUUCUGUCUCUCUUGUUCCAGUUUGUAUAAAGAAUAAAAGACUUGGUUGUUACCCUUA
Long non-coding RNA from Alligator mississippiensis (American alligator), 5522 nucleotides. RefSeq lists it as uncharacterized. Lineage: Eukaryota; Metazoa; Chordata; Crocodylia; Alligatoridae. The transcript is spliced from 3 exons. The record is from RefSeq and is a predicted model, not a curated record.